Oreochromis aureus is the source of this 1230-nucleotide long non-coding RNA. RefSeq lists it as uncharacterized. The record is from RefSeq and is a predicted model, not a curated record. The transcript has 2 exons. NCBI's taxonomy places the organism in Eukaryota, Metazoa, Chordata, Actinopteri, Cichliformes, Cichlidae.
ACAACAGAGAAAUAAUGGAGCAAACACAAAUUUACUUACUUUUUAUGGCAAAGUUUGUAAAGAAUCACUAAUGAAGAUGAUAAAUAACCAUAUUCAUCUAGUUUGUUCUUACAUCCACAGGGAGGCACUUGAGAUGGACUAAAGAGUCACGAGCUACUCAGUGUAAACUAAUCCCUGGUGUUGUAUAGGAUUGAUCUGACUCUUGCUACCAUCAAUAUAAUAUAAAAUGACACUGAUACAAGGAGAUGUGUGACCUACAGAAUAUGCCAAAAAACUUUCUCAGCCUGCGUUUUAUGUGUAUUUGACCACAAAGAAGAAAUAAGCUUGAUGAGAAAAUCAGAAGUGAGAUAAGAUGAAACACCACAGCACAAACAAAAGUCUUACUGGCAUUCUGUAUUUUAAUGAAAUAUCAGGUUAAAAUAAAAAACACUUUAAUGAAAGAAGCAGACAUUAAAAAAAAAAAAAAUCACCAUAAAUAUGCUACAUUACCCAAAUCACACUCUGCUCUAGCACAAUCUAGGAAAUCUAAGGGCUGCUUUAGUGUUAGGUCAUACACAAACAUAUGAAGGAUCCGCAUUAAGAGUGAAGAUAUCCCGAAUGUGCAGUGGAAAAUCUAAAUGUGAAUCAACUCCAGAUUAAUGCUUCUCAACACUAUCCAGCUUAAGACUUAUGAGCAAACACUGCACUCAUACACACUCUCACCCGAACACACACUAAAAGGUAUACCUUCAAGCGGAAGACUUACCCCAGGUUACGAAUUACAAGACUUUUGUGGGCUUUUUGGGCAAAAUAUGAAAAAGUUUUACUAAUCUUAAAAACAUUAACUCAUAAAAAAGCCCAUCUCGCUUCUCUAAGCGUUCCCAUACCCUCACAUCAAAAAAGAAGGGAUCUCUGGAUUAAACAAGCCUAAAUAAUUCACUCAAUUUGGGUCAUUUACAUCUAAAUAUGCACCUUAAAGUCAAAAGGAAAACCCAAAUACCUGCAUCCAGUGUUUAAGAAGAUCAGAUUAUUUGACUUGCACGGGCCUGCCCACCACAGGGCGAGGCCGUCUCAGUGGUUUAAUCACUAAUACGCGUGCUCAAAACGUAACACCAGCUGGUGCCCCGUGUGACUACAACUCCCAAGUUUUCACACGCAAACCCCGCACUCAUUCAGUCCAUGUCCUCCUGCACAACUAGCACUUAGGACAGCAUUAUCAGCAAAUGUGUUGUCGUGGUUGCUGAAAAAAAA